Molecule: ribosomal RNA, 371 nt
Filed under: uncultured bacterium
Lineage: Bacteria
Description: bacterial SSU rRNA
Rfam family: Bacterial small subunit ribosomal RNA
Source: RNAcentral
AGAGGGUGCAAGCGUUGUUCGGAAUUAUUGGGCGUAAAGCGCGUGUAGGCGGCUUGGCAAGUCAGAUGUGAAAGCCCUCGGCUUAACCGAGGAAGUGCGUCUGAAACUGCUGAGCUUGAGUGUCGGAGAGGAUGGCGGAAUUCCGCAAGUAGAGGUGAAAUUCGUAGAUAUGCGGAGGAACACCGGUGGCGAAGGCGGCCAUCUGGACGACUACUGACGCUGAGACGCGAAAGCGUGGGGAGCAAACAGGAUUAGAUACCCUGGUAGUCCACGCUGUAAACGAUGAGGACUAGGUGUCGUGGGUGUUGACCCCCGCGGUGCCGCAGCUAACGCAUUAAGUUCUCCGCCUGGGAAGUACGGCCGCAAGGCUA